GACGAACGCUGACGGUGUGCUUUAGACAUGCAAGUCGAACGCGAAAGCCCUUCGGGGUUAGUAGAGUGGCGAACGGGUGAGUAACACGUGGGCAAUCUGCCCCUCGCAGGGGGACAACCGGAGGAAACUCCGGCUAAUACCCCGUACGCUUGCUGGACCGCAUGGUCCGGCAAGGAAAGGUAGCUUCGGCCAUCCGGCGAGGGAUGAGCCCGCGGUGCAUUAGCUAGUUGGUGAGGUAACGGCUCACCAAGGCGACGAUGCAUAGCUGGUCUGAGAGGAUGAUCAGCCACACUGGGACUGAGACACGGCCCAGGACUCC
This 319-nucleotide ribosomal RNA is filed under the name uncultured bacterium. RNAcentral's name for it is "bacterial SSU rRNA". It matches the Rfam family "Bacterial small subunit ribosomal RNA", at positions 28 to 339 of the family's 1533-position model. The record is from RNAcentral.